CGGUGUUCAACUGGCGUGUCCGCGGGACGUCCUGCCGGUGGGCUUAGCCCGCAAGGGCGGCCCAACUUCAAAUCCCAUCGCGGUGCUCUUCACUGAGUGUCGAGGUGGGCCGGCACGUUUACUUUGAACAAAUUAGAGUGCUUAAAGCAGGCUAAAACUUCCCCUGAAUACUGUGUGCAUGGAAUAAUGGAAUAGGACCUCGGUUCUAUUUUGUUGGUUUUCGGAACCCCGAGGUAAUGAUUAAUAGGAACGGAUGGGGGCAUUCGUAUUGCGACGUUAGAGGUGAAAUUCUUGGAUCGUCGCAAGACGGACAGAAGCGAAAGCAUUUGCCAAAAACGCUUUCAUUGAUCAAGAACGAAAGUUAGAGGUUCGAAGGCGAUCAGAUACCGCCCUAGUUCUAACCAUAAACGAUGCCAGCUAGCGAUCCGUCGACGUUCCUCCGAUGACUCGACGGGCAGCUUCCGGGAAACCAAAGCUUUUGGGUUCCGGGGGAAGUAUGGUUGCAAAGCUGAAACUUAAAGGAAUUGACGGAAGGGCACCACCAGGAGUGGAGCCUGCGGCUUAAUUUGACUCAACACGGGAAACCUCACCAGGCCCGGACACCGGAAGGAUUGACAGAUUGAGAGCUCUUUCUUGAUUCGGUGGGUGGUGGUGCAUGGCCGUCCUUAGUUGGUGGAGCGAUUUGUCUGGUUAAUUCCGAUAACGAACGAGACUCUAGCCUGCUAACUAGGCGUAUUUUCGACAUCUCAAAGGUCCGUCGUCCCGGCCCUCGGGUCGUGGGCGUGCGCGAUUUUUACUGUCGGCGUACUAUCAAUUCUUCUUAGAGGGACAGGUGGCUUCUAGCCGCACGAGAUUGAGCAAUAACAGGUCUGUGAUG
This 877-nucleotide ribosomal RNA is filed under the name uncultured eukaryote. RNAcentral describes it as "SSU rRNA". It matches the Rfam family "Eukaryotic small subunit ribosomal RNA", at positions 636 to 1469 of the family's 1831-position model. The record is from RNAcentral.